AUGGCAGCAGGCGCUGCGGGCACGCGCCCAGCCCGGCACAGGUGCAGCGAGAGGCGCGAGCCGGGCCGCCCGUCCUCACCUCGGAUGGGGCUGCAGCCGAAGGGGGAACAUCUCCGCUUGGAGACCGCCUCCUUUUGGGGUUUCCAGCGAGCCCUGCUGCUCAGACAGGGAUUGACCUGUGGUGGACUCCACUGUGUUUACUGCCAAUUUGGGAUGAUGCAUUGCUGCACAGUGCUACCAAUAAAUGGGAGGUUUGAGGUAGCAGGAAAAGAACAGAAUGGUGCAAAACUAUACUCAGACUGCAGUGCUUACCAGUGUGUUUGCCAGGCAGAAGGAGGCUUAAUUCCUUCUCAUAAGAAUAACUGCACUGCGAUGGUGGAAAUGACUGUGAACUUCAGAAUUCGAGGAGGCUGUUCUAAAAAAGGCUGGGAAAAGUGUGAAAAUGCUCUAAAAGUACAGCUGGUCAUCCUAAGUACAAAUGAGAGAUCUACAAGGUGUUGUUCCACCAGAGGAAGAUCCUGUACUCUGCAGACCCACUAUAGACCUGACUGUAGCAGAAGGGGAGCAGCCUAUCUACUUACAGAUCAAUUCCAAAAGGGUGAAGUUUGCCUCGUGCGUUCCCCUGUGCAUCCACCACUGCUUCAUUGAUGUCCUGGAAACUAAGCCUAUAGUUGAGUAUGCCAUCUGGUAGGAGCUACAGCAGAAGCAGUUGCUCUCGCAGAUUUCCAUCAGGCCUAGGUGUUACCCUUUCUGUGGAGGCAGCUCACUGCACCAGUUUUUUUCUGUGACAAAUUCUGGUUGUCUCAAAGGAAAGAGCAACUGAUUGCAUGUAAUGGAAUGAAUGAAAAAUAAAACACUUUUGCUUGAAUGAAUUGCG
Molecule: long non-coding RNA, 877 nt
Filed under: Phasianus colchicus (ring-necked pheasant)
Lineage: Eukaryota; Metazoa; Chordata; Aves; Galliformes; Phasianidae
Description: lncRNA (ENSPCLG00000008146.1)
Source: RNAcentral